UACGGAGGAUCCAAGCGUUAUCCGGAAUUACUGGGCGUAAAGAGUUGCGUAGGUGGCAUAGUAAGCGGGUAGUGAAAGCGUGUGGCUCAACCAUACUCACAUUAUCCGAACUGCUAAGCUAGAGGACGAGAGAGGUUAUUGGAAUUCUCAGUGUAGGAGUGAAAUCCGCAGAUAUUGGGAGGAACACCGAUGGCGUAGGCAGAUAACUGGCUCGUUCCUGACACUAAGGCACGAAAGCGUGGGGAGCAAACGGG
Molecule: ribosomal RNA, 254 nt
Filed under: uncultured prokaryote
Description: partial 16S ribosomal RNA
Rfam family: Bacterial small subunit ribosomal RNA
Source: RNAcentral